Molecule: transfer RNA, 87 nt
Filed under: Marinilabiliales bacterium
Lineage: Bacteria; Pseudomonadati; Bacteroidota; Bacteroidia; Marinilabiliales
Description: tRNA-Leu
Rfam family: tRNA
About the family: Transfer RNA (tRNA) molecules are approximately 80 nucleotides in length.
Source: RNAcentral
GCUCGAGUGGUGGAAUUGGUAGACACGCCGGACUUAAAAUCCUGUGGCCUUCGGGCCGUGCGGGUUCAAGUCCCGCCUCGAGUACAA